This 234-nucleotide ribosomal RNA is filed under the name uncultured bacterium. RNAcentral's name for it is "partial 16S ribosomal RNA". It matches the Rfam family "Bacterial small subunit ribosomal RNA", at positions 118 to 351 of the family's 1533-position model. The record is from RNAcentral.
UGAGUAACCUGCCCUUAACUCUGGGAUAAGCCUGGGAAACUGGGUCUAAUACCGGAUAUGACUCCUCAUCGCAUGGUGGGGGGUGGAAAGCUUUAUUGUGGUUUUGGAUGGACUCGCGGCCUAUCAGCUUGUUGGUGAGGUAAUGGCUCACCAAGGCGACGACGGGUAGCCGGCCUGAGAGGGCGAUCGGCCACACUGGGACUGAGACACGGCCCAGACUCCUACGGGAGGCAG